This 164-nucleotide ribosomal RNA is filed under the name Pommereschea lackneri. RNAcentral's name for it is "5.8S ribosomal RNA". It matches the Rfam family "5.8S ribosomal RNA". Rfam says of the family: 5.8S ribosomal RNA (5.8S rRNA) is a component of the large subunit of the eukaryotic ribosome. It is transcribed by RNA polymerase I as part of the 45S precursor that also contains 18S and 28S rRNA. RNAcentral also lists the same sequence under 1 other name. The record is from RNAcentral. Lineage: Eukaryota; Viridiplantae; Streptophyta; Magnoliopsida; Zingiberales; Zingiberaceae.
CAAAUGACUCUCGGCAAUGGAUAUCUCGGCUCUUGCAUCGAUGAAGAACGUAGUGAAAUGCGAUACUUGGUGUGAAUUGCAGAAUCUCGUGAACCAUUGAGUCUUUGAACGCAAGUUGUGCCCGAGGCCUUGUGGUCGAGGGCACGCCUGCUUGGGCGUCAUGA